Long non-coding RNA from Vespa crabro (European hornet), 688 nucleotides. RefSeq lists it as uncharacterized. The transcript is spliced from 2 exons. NCBI's taxonomy places the organism in Eukaryota, Metazoa, Arthropoda, Insecta, Hymenoptera, Vespidae. The record is from RefSeq and is a predicted model, not a curated record.
AACUUGCUGAACUGGCAUUUGUCUAUUCAGUCAAUGAUGCGUGUUAUUUCAAAUAAAGAAAAAAUAGUGUAGUAUAGAAUUAUUUACUUUAUUCUGAAGCAUUAGCCAGUUCAUGCAGAAAAUAUUGUUUUAUUCAUUUAAAUUAUUUAAAGAUUAAUUCAAUCAUUUAAAUAAACCAUUAUAAGUUCAGAAUUAAUACUAGAUAUACGAUCGAAUUCAUAAAAUUUGACAACUAUCAAAUUACACGACAUUAAUUUAAAAAAUAGAAUAAAAAAUUUAAUAUACAAGACUGCGGCAAAAGUUAAUUUAUCCAAGGAGUCAUUUGAAUUGCAGAAUUACAUCCAGUAUUUGUAGAAGAUGCACAAAAUUUAGCUGCUGCUGUACAUGAAGAAGCUCAUAACAAUGAUACUGCUGGUACUAAUUCCUCCACGUUGAAUACACCAUCUACUACAUACUCUUACAGUUUAGAUAAUUUGAGCGAUUUUAUUUGCAUUGAAAUAUAUUGCGAUAUAUUGAAUCUAAAUCUAAAUUAUAUAACGCAAGUACUAUCGGGUGAAUGGCUCCAUAUUUCAAUGCAUUUCCAAAAUCUUUUGGAUCUAAUUCUUAAUAAACAUUGAUGUACUUAUGUUUUACAUUAAUCAUACUUCACACAUUUAUCAUACUUCAAUAAAUAAAUAAAUUAAAUAUA